CAUAGCGUAUAUUAAAGUUGUUGCAGUUAAAAAGUCUCGUAGUUGGAUUUCUGGGAGGGUGCCGAUGUCCACUUAACGUGUGCGCAGCGGCGCCCUCUCAUCCUUCUGUUAGCGUCUCUUGGCAUUCAUUUACUGGUGGCGGGCUCAGAUAUUUUACCUUGAGAAAAUUAGAGUGUUUCAGGCAGGCUAGGCCGGAAUACAUUAGCAUGGAAUAAUAAUAUAGGAUCUUGGUUCUAUUUUGUUGGUUUCUAGAGCUAAGUUAAUGAUUAAUAGGGACAAUUGGGGGCAUUCGUAUUAACGCGUCAGAGGUGGAAUUCUUGGAUUGCGUUACGACGAACUACUGCGAAAGCAUUUGCCAAGGAUGUUUUCAUUGAUCAAGAACGAAAGUAAGGGGAUCGAAGACGAUUAGAUACCGUCGUAGUCUUUACCAUAAACUAUGCCAACUAGAGAUCCGCCCUCGUUUUUUUAUGACUGGGUGGGCACCUUAUGAGAAAUCAAA
Molecule: ribosomal RNA, 499 nt
Filed under: uncultured marine picoplankton
Lineage: Eukaryota
Description: bacterial SSU rRNA
Rfam family: Eukaryotic small subunit ribosomal RNA
Source: RNAcentral